GCUUGUUUGAAUGGUUUGACGUGAGAGAUGCGAAUAUUUAGUAUUAAUUUGAUUUGGUGUUAGGGAUACAGAAUUCCUAAAUGUUUAAUAAGACGGAAAGACCCUGGGAUCUUUUUUUUUCGCUUGGGGCAAGUUUCAUUAUUUCAAUGAAAUUAGGAUCUUAAGUAUAGAUUAUUGGGUUAAGUUACCCCAGGGAUAACAGUGUGAUAAUUAAUAAGAGAUCUUAUCGAAUUAAUUGUUUGCCACCUCGAUGUUGACUUAGGUUAGAAUUUAGGUGUAGUAGC
RNAcentral lists this ribosomal RNA (284 nucleotides) under Taenia solium (pork tapeworm). RNAcentral's name for it is "partial large subunit ribosomal RNA". The stretch from base 90 to 284 matches the Rfam family "Bacterial large subunit ribosomal RNA", at positions 2077 to 2562 of the family's 2925-position model. The record is from RNAcentral. Lineage: Eukaryota; Metazoa; Platyhelminthes; Cestoda; Cyclophyllidea; Taeniidae.